GCGUAUUAGUGAAGAGGUUUCACAAGUGACUAGUGAUCACUUAAGCCUAGUUCGAGUCGAGGAUACGCUC
This 70-nucleotide transfer RNA is filed under the name Picea glauca (white spruce). Its description in RNAcentral is "tRNA-Thr". The record is from RNAcentral. Lineage: Eukaryota; Viridiplantae; Streptophyta; Pinopsida; Pinales; Pinaceae.